UGCGGGGCUAGGGCUAACAGCAGU
This 24-nucleotide non-coding RNA is filed under the name Equus caballus (horse). Its record names the gene eca-miR-744. The record is from miRBase by way of RNAcentral. RNAcentral also lists the same sequence under 2 other names. Lineage: Eukaryota; Metazoa; Chordata; Mammalia; Perissodactyla; Equidae.